CAUGCCAAUGGCACUGCCCGGUAGCUAAAUGCGGAAGAGAUAAGUGCUGAAAGCAUCUAAGCACGAAACUUGCCCCGAGAUGAGUUCUCCCUGAGACUUUAGGUCUCCUGAAGGAACGUUGAAGACGACGACGUUGAUAGGCCGGGUGUGUAAGCGCAGCGAUGCGUUGAGCUAACCGGUACUAAUGAACCGUGAGGCUUAACCUU
This 206-nucleotide ribosomal RNA is filed under the name Salmonella enterica subsp. enterica serovar Senftenberg. RNAcentral's name for it is "partial 23S ribosomal RNA". It matches the Rfam family "Bacterial large subunit ribosomal RNA", at positions 2725 to 2925 of the family's 2925-position model. RNAcentral also lists the same sequence under 3 other names. The record is from RNAcentral. Lineage: Bacteria; Pseudomonadati; Pseudomonadota; Gammaproteobacteria; Enterobacterales; Enterobacteriaceae.